CAGCUCAGUAAGUAGAGCGUGAGACUCUUAAUCUCAGGGUUAUGGGUUUGAGUCCCAGGUUGGGCAAGA
This is a non-coding RNA of Podarcis lilfordi (Lilford's wall lizard), 69 nucleotides long. NCBI's taxonomy places the organism in Eukaryota, Metazoa, Chordata, Lepidosauria, Squamata, Lacertidae. The record is from the annotation of a GenBank genome assembly.